GGAGUUUGGACCGUGUCUCAGUUUCCAAUGUGGGGGACCUUCCUCUCAGAACCCCUACUGAUCGUAGCCUUGGUGGGCCGUUACCCCGCCAACAAGCUAAUCAGACGCAUCCCCAUCCUUAACCGACAAAAUCUUUGGUCCGGGUCAGAUGCCCUCGCUGGACCACAUCGGGCAUUAAUCCGGUUUUCACCGGGCUAUUCCCAAGUUAAGGGAAGGUUGGAUACGCGUUACUCACCCAUUCGCCGGUCGCCAUCAGAGACAGCAAGCUGCCUCCAUGAUGCCCCUCGACUUGCAUGUGUUAAGCCUGUAGCUAGCGUUCAUC
Molecule: ribosomal RNA, 322 nt
Filed under: uncultured Prevotella sp.
Lineage: Bacteria; Pseudomonadati; Bacteroidota; Bacteroidia; Bacteroidales; Prevotellaceae
Description: partial 16S ribosomal RNA
Source: RNAcentral